This 433-nucleotide ribosomal RNA is filed under the name uncultured bacterium. RNAcentral's name for it is "partial 16S ribosomal RNA". It matches the Rfam family "Bacterial small subunit ribosomal RNA", at positions 29 to 507 of the family's 1533-position model. The record is from RNAcentral.
AACGAACGCUGGCGGCAUGCCUAACACAUGCAAGUCGAACGAAACCUUCGGGUCUAGUGGCGCACGGGUGCGUAACGCGUGGGAACCUGCCCUUAGGUUCGGAAUAACUCCCCGAAAGGGGUGCUAAUACCGGAUAAUGUCUUCGCACCAAAGAUUUAUCGCCUUUGGAUGGGCCCGCGUUGGAUUAGCUAGUUGGUAGGGUAAAAGCCUACCAAGGCGACGAUCCAUAGCUGGUCGGAGAGGAUGAUCAGCCACGAUGGGAAUGAGACACGGCCCAGAAUCCUACGGGAGGGAGGAGUGGGGAAUAUUGGAAAAUGGGGGAAAGCCUGAUCCAGCAAUGACGGGUGAGUGAUGAAGGCCUUAGGGAUGUAAAGCUCUUUUACACGGGAUGAUAAUGACAGUACCGGGAGAAUAAGCGCCGGCUAACUCCGUG